Molecule: unclassified non-coding RNA, 373 nt
Filed under: uncultured fungus
Lineage: Eukaryota; Fungi
Description: partial internal transcribed spacer 1
Source: RNAcentral
GUGUUUAUUUUUGGAGUAAAUCACUGUCUAUUCCAGCCGAUCGUAUUGGUGUUAUUCUCGUUGGCGGCCAACUGGGAUACCUCCUGGGUAUGGUUGCCAGCUGGUUUGUCUGCCGUAUAAAAAAUUGUUACCCCUUCUACUUUGUUGCGCUCCUGUUAAUUAUUGGCGAGGUCUGUUCCUUCUGCGUAAAUGGCCCGUCUGACGUAGACAGGCUUAUUAUAGCGCAGUUUUUAAUUAGUCUGGGUGUGGGGAUCAUAACGCUGUUAGUCCCCAUGCUGCUUUUCAGCGCUAUCGGCAGUACACAGACAUUUGUUAUUUUAUUUAGCCUCUGCUUACUGUUCAAAUUUAUCAUCGCUGGCUGUCUGUCUAUAUU